AAUUGAUGUUCAAGAAUUGAUCCAAAUUUAAAGGAUAAGAAAGUUUACAUUUUCUUAUAGGGCUCAGACCAAAAUAAAGUCUGAUUAGGUUUGCUGUUGGGUUGUUUGUAAUAUAAAAACAACCAUAAUCGUCGAGGAGUGAGUCAUUCUCUCAUGGGUAUUUGUUUGCCUAAUAGUAGGAUUCCAAUUGCUUUUGGAUUUGUAGAUGCACCUUACAUACUCCCAUCACGCAGUAACAUAUCAAUAUCAGAUACUGCAUCUGGCCGGGUUUAUAUUAUGCAUUCCUACUGCAUCAUGGUGACUCCAUAAAAUUUGAGCGACAUGAAACUAAAAAUUAGAUGCUGCAAGAGUCACAACAUUCAGGAAAACAUAACAAAUCAGAGAAUAGCACUGAUUUGGAUUCAUCAUGGUUUAUCUAAGGAGAUGCUGCAACAGACAUGUUGUCUUCUGCUUGUACCUUUGGAUUCAUCAUGGUUUAUCUAAGCAGAGAUAUCAUUACAUUGAUUUACGCCACUCAGACCACCUGAGCACCGAGUAGGUGAAAUAGAAAAUUACUUCAGCCGGUAAUUUGGUAUUUACCUACAUUCAAGGAGACCAUGUAGCGUGUAAUCAAUUCCAGUGCGGAAGAAGAAUAGGACAUCUUAUUUUGUAACAAUAAAAAACCUUAUUUUGUUUCUCUCCCCCUACAAGAAGCUUUUCCGCCUCAUACAUGCCCGCCGCCAGCAGGUAGCAGAUUCGGGUACCAAUUUGAUGAUGUGCUCAUAACUGAUCUUGCUUGGACAGAACAAGAAACUUAGGGUUCUCGAAGUAAUGAGUUUGCUGCUGCUUCAAGGUUGGAAGAAACAUUCAACUUCUACCAUACUACCAGUCCUGAUGUAGCUAAGCUUUUCCACAUUGACCCUGUAGCCAAGUGCACCUCUGUAGUCUUGCUGAAGAAAUAGGAGGAGAAGUUGAAUGUAUAAGGUGUCGUGGCCGGAGGCCACAUGGACCCCACCUCCACCGCAGGGGCGACGUGUAUUUCCUCUUGCUUCACCGCCUUAUAGCCAAGCAAACCAGGAGUGACCUCCUCUCCUACUACACCAGCGGCCUUCACUGGCUCUGGAGACAUGGUGGCCAUUGACACUCCGACGCUGAUGAGUAAUCAGUUCCAUCAUUGACAUAUAACCUGAAAAGUUGUUGGGCAGGAUGGGUUCCGUUGGCGUUGUGGUCCAGACACAAUAAUUCUUUGAAGCAGCGCUGUAGUGGAAUGAUGUAAAAAAAGUGUGAUGUGCCACAGUUUUGAUGAAAUGAUUUCUAGCUACUAUGAGGAACGAAGCUUAAUCGGUGACUGCACUCUUUUUAACCAAGCUUCAGUCUAAGGACCACCACCCCUUCCAGGAUGUUUCUAUCCGGCAUGAAAGCAGUUUGGGAAUGCCGCACCACAGAAUGUGCAAUCUGUGUGAGCUGAUUCGUCCCAACCUUGGUAAAUUUUUUGAAACUAACAAGGUUUUAUUUUCAAGUUUGACGUCUAAUUGCUCCCUUCUUCUUGAUGCAUAAUUUUCAGCAAUCAAGGUUGGUUGCUACCUUACCCUGUCCUCGCAUAGUUAAGAGAAAUCCAAUUUAAGGUUUUAUAAUUAAAUACAACGCCAAGAAGCACUACCGCGGGCAUCAUGUGUGCUUGAAACAAAUCUUCUCUUUUUCUAAAAGAGUGGUAUCAAUUUGUUCGGAAUUAGAAUAUUCCUCUUUUUGAAACACUCACAUGUCUUUUGAUUAUUCUAACCUGGGACUAAGUACAGUUGGAUGCAAGCUUGAUAUGUAAGUACGUUUUAGUUUAAUUAUUAGUCCUUGACCAUGAGCAAGAAUCUAGCUAGAUGGGCUUUCAUGUUACACAUAUAUGCUUGUUACUGUUUUGCGAGCUAAUGUCUAUUAAUUAAUUAGUUAGAUGCUUGAAUUAACCUGUAAUUUGCUAACUAUUAUUGGUUAUCACCAUCCAUCGUCUUCGUUUGGUUGUAAGUUGUUGACCAUUAGCAAGAAGCUAGCUAAUUGUGUGUGCAUGCCACACACGUGCACAUAUAUCAGUUGUUGCGAGUUAAGAUCAUCUGCCAACUACCUUUAUAUGUAAUUGUGUGUUGUAUUCUCACUGCUUCCAGUAGAUAGUAUCAUUUCAGAAUUCACCUAAAAUUUGCAAAGUUCAAAUUUUUGGGAUCAAAAUACAACUUUUUUUAAAGUUAAGCCAAUAUAAAGUGUGUGCAGGUUGACUUUUAAAACAUUUUUGCUUACAAGAAGCUUAUCAGUUGUAAUGUUUAGCACCUACAUAACCUGAUGGUCUUGUAGUGACUUGGGAUUGGCGAUUAAAGAAACAUGGGUAUCGAGCAUAUUAAUGUGAGAAGUAGAUAUACAAUAUGUUAUAAAGGAGAAGACAAGUAAAUAUUGAGUGUGAAAGAUAAGUAUGAUUUUUUACUAUAAUAUGAAUUAUUGAAUUUAAUCUGAUAUUCAACCCCUCAAAAUUAGAUUUAAUACGUGCUACUACACCAUUACUUAUCUCUACUAUUAAAGGAGAAUUUGACAAGUAAUCAGGCAAGUCAGCACUAUCGUCGAUGGAAGUCGUCGUGCGGAGAUGGAAGUUGACAAGUAAGUUUCUCCAUGAAGUUGAUCUGAUGUGAAGCUUGUGCCAGAUAAAAGUGGGGAUGCAGAUUGGGCAUCAAGUGUACGACAGAGGAUGACAAACGAUUACGUUCUUCAUGACCAACCAAGGAAGCGAAGCAAAUCACAACCCUUUAGUUCAUGGUCUAGGAGCAGUUAAUUAUCCGCUUUCAAGUAUUUGUUGCCGAAGUGAGCAUCUAAUUGCAGGAAUUCUGUGAGGGCUUCUCUACACUGGUACGGUCUCUCACUGGUACACGAUUUGAGGCAUAGGAGGGAGGGGCACAUUGCGAUGUUGUCUUUGGUCACGGCUAUAGCUUAUGAGAAGAAUGGGAUUUAUGCUUUGGCAGACUGCCCCGUGGUUAGCAAGUCAUUAUUGCCGCCUCCGCUUCCCAAGUUGCAUCGGCUUGCUGUUGGUGUGUGCUGCUUCUGCAGCUCCUGUCGGCCGCCUCUUAGGUUGGGUUUUGCUGCCACUACUAAAGUUUCCAUUGCCAAGGCAAGGUGUCGUCGUCUUGCUUGCAAGGCACACAUUGCACCGCGGGCAACAUUUUGGUAUGCAUGGCCACUCAUGUCAAAGCUGGGUUCCAGUUUGACGACCUCUCUACCAAGUCUCCAUGUUCUUCUUCCCUGUACUUUCUCCAUCUGCUGUUAUACUCUCUUGCAAGUAUGGCUUAUCUAGUUUGAUGUCAUGUUGCUUUGGCAGUUGUGUAUUAACCCCUCAAGGAGAAGAGGGGGGAGAUGGAAGUUGUAGGCGCGUGCCCCCGUCCGACCGUCGUUAGACCAGGAUGAGCUAGCGGCGGUGGUCGUCGAGGACUCUAAUCAUCCGCGGAUUGUCGUGGCGUAGUGGUGCCACCGAGGGCACCAACAUCAGCAGUAGAUGCAACAACGGCGGAGGCGGUAAGAGACAUAGGCCAAGGAUAGGGAUAGAGCAACUCAGCCGCAAUAAUUUUUUACUAAUUAUGAGAUGUUUCUUAUUUAUUCUUGAUAUGAUCUACUCCCUACAUUUCAUAAUGUAGUGCUCUUGAGAGGUGGAGCAUUAAAGAGCAAAUCAACUGGGCCCAGGCCUUCAUGGCUUCGUCCCCUACUUUCUACUGAUCCAUGCCAACUGCAUAGUUAUUUACUUUGGAAAUGCCUAGAUAUAUUUCACAUUUAACAGAAAAGCUCACACUGCAAUUGUCUGUACGAAGUUAUGUUUUGUUUUCAUUAUUUGUUUAUGUAACUCAGUUUUGGACUUGCAAGGCACACAUUGUACCGCGGGCAACAUUUUGGUAUGCAUGGCCACUCAUGUCAAAGCUGGGUUCCAGUUUGACGACCUCUCUACCAAGUCUCCAUGUUCUUCUUCCCUGUACUUUCUCCAUCUGCUGUUAUACUCUCUUGCAAGUAUGGCUUAUCUAGUUUGAUGUCAUGUUGCUUUGGCAGUUGUGUAUUAACCCCUCAAGGAGAAGAGGGGGGAGAUGGAAGUUGUAGGCGCGUGCCCCCGUCCGACCGUCGUUAGACCAGGAUGAGCUAGCGGCGGUGGUCGUCGAGGACUCUAAUCAUCCGCGGAUUGUCGUGGCGUAGUGGUGCCACCGAGGGCACCAACAUCAGCAGUAGAUGCAACAACGGCGGAGGCGGUAAGAGACAUAGGCCAAGGAUAGGGAUAGAGCAACUCAGCCGCAAUAAUUUUUUACUAAUUAUGAGAUGUUUCUUAUUUAUUCUUGAUAUGAUCUACUCCCUACAUUUCAUAAUGUAGUGCUCUUGAGAGGUGGAGCAUUAAAGAGCAAAUCAACUGGGCCCAGGCCUUCAUGGCUUCGUCCCCUACUUUCUACUGAUCCAUGCCAACUGCAUAGUUAUUUACUUUGGAAAUGCCUAGAUAUAUUUCACAUUUAACAGAAAAGCUCACACUGCAAUUGUCUGUACGAAGUUAUGUUUUGUUUUCAUUAUUUGUUUAUGUAACUCAGUUUUGGA
Molecule: long non-coding RNA, 4566 nt
Organism: Triticum aestivum (bread wheat)
Lineage: Eukaryota; Viridiplantae; Streptophyta; Magnoliopsida; Poales; Poaceae
Exons: 9
Source: RefSeq, a predicted model, not a curated record